RNAcentral lists this ribosomal RNA (254 nucleotides) under uncultured bacterium. Its description in RNAcentral is "partial 16S ribosomal RNA". It matches the Rfam family "Bacterial small subunit ribosomal RNA", at positions 524 to 776 of the family's 1533-position model. The record is from RNAcentral.
UACGGGGGGAGCAAGCGUUGUUCGGAUUUACUGGGCGUAAAGGGCGCGUAGGCGGCCACCUCAAGUCGAUUGUGAAAUCUCCGGGCUUAACCCGGAAAGGUCAACCGAUACUGCGGGGCUAGAGUGCAGAAGGGGCAACUGGAAUUCUCGGUGUAGCGGUGAAAUGCGUAGAUAUCGAGAGGAACACCGGCGGCGAAGGCGGGUUGCUGGGCUGACACUGACGCUGAGGCGCGAAAGCUAGGGGAGCGAACGGG